RNAcentral lists this ribosomal RNA (1481 nucleotides) under uncultured Bordetella sp. Its description in RNAcentral is "partial 16S-23S ribosomal RNA intergenic spacer". It matches the Rfam family "Bacterial small subunit ribosomal RNA". The record is from RNAcentral. Lineage: Bacteria; Pseudomonadati; Pseudomonadota; Betaproteobacteria; Burkholderiales; Alcaligenaceae.
GGUUUGAUUCUGGCUCAGAUUGAACGCUGGCGGGAUGUCGCGCUACAUGCAAGUCGACGGCAGCACGGACUUCGGUCUGGUGGCGAGUAGCGGUGGGUGGAGUAAUGUAUCGGAACGUGUCUGCCUAAGUAGCGGGGAUAACUACGCGAAAGCGUAGCUAAUACCGCCGCCCUUCAAAAGGGGAAAGCAGAGGACCUUCGGGCCUCGCACUAUUGGAAGCGGCCGAUAUCGGAUUGAAAGCUAGUUGGUGGGGUAACGGCUCUACCAAGGCGACGAUCAUAACUGGUUUGAGAGGACGACCAGCCACACUGGGACUGAGACACGGCCCGAACUCCUACCGGGAGAGGCAGCAGUGGGGUACGGACGUCAGGAAACCUGAUCCAGCCAUCCCGCGUGUGCGAUGAAGGCCUUCGGGUUGUAAAGCACUUUUGGCAGGAAAACGGCUGGGAUGUCACCCCGUUACCUUCGGCAAUACCUGCAGAAUAAGCACAAAUAACGUAUAUCCGCGGUAAUACGUAGGGUGCAAGCGUUAAUCGGAAUUACUGGGCGUAAAGCGUGCGCAGGCGGUUCGGAAAGAAAGAUGUGAAAUCCAGAGCUUAACUUUGGAACUGCAUUUUAACUACCGAGCUAGAGUGUGUCAGAGGGAGGUGGAAUUCCGCGUGUAGCAGUGAAAUGCGUAGAUAUGCGGAGGAACACCGAUGGCGAAGGCGGCCUCACCGGACAACACUGACGCCAUUGCACGAGAAAGCGUGGGGAGCAAACAGGAUUAGAUACCCUGGUAGUCCACGCCCUAAACGAUGUCAACUAGCUGUUAGGGCCUUCGGGCCUUGGUAGCGCAACUAACGCGUGAAGUUGACCGCCUGGGGAGUAUGGUCGCAAGAUUAAAACUCAAGGAAUUGACGGGGACCCGCACAAGCGGUGGAUGAUGUGGAUUAAUUCGAUGCAACGCGAAAAACCUUACCUACCCUUGACAUGUCUGGAAUCCCGAAGAGAUUUGGGAGUGCUCGCAAGAGAACCGGAACACAGGUGCUGCAUAGCUGUCGUCAGCUCGUGUCGUGAGAUGUUGGGUUAAGUCCCGCAACGAGCGCAACCCUUGUCGUGGAUUGCUACGAAGGGCGCUCUAAUGCGAGACUGCCGGUGACAAACCGGAGGAGGUGGGGAUGACGUCCAAGUCCUCAUGGCCCUUAUGGUGGAACUUCCACACGUCAUACAAUGGUCGGGACAGAGGGUCGCCAACCCGCGAGGGGAGCCAAUCCCAGAAACCCGAUCGUGGUCCGGAUCAUAGUCACAACUCGACUGCGUGAAGUCGGAAUCGCUAGUAAUCGCGGAUCAGCAUGUCGCGGUGAAUACGUUCCCGGGUCUUGUACACACCGCCCGUCACACCAUGGGAGUGGGUUUUACCGAAAUCAGUUAGCCUAACCGUAAGGAGGGCGAUUACCACGGUAGGAUUCAUGACUGGGGUGAAGUCGUAAUAAAGGUAA